RNAcentral lists this ribosomal RNA (380 nucleotides) under uncultured bacterium. Its description in RNAcentral is "bacterial SSU rRNA". It matches the Rfam family "Bacterial small subunit ribosomal RNA", at positions 29 to 408 of the family's 1533-position model. The record is from RNAcentral.
ACGAACGCUGGCGGCGUGCUUAACACAUGCAAGUCGAGCGGUAAGGCCCUUUCGGGGGUACACGAGCGGCGAACGGGUGAGUAACACGUGGGUGACCUGCCCUCAGCUCUGGGAUAAGCCUGGGAAACCGGGUCUAAUACUGGAUAUGACUCCAUGACGCAUGUUGUGGGGUGGAAAGCCUUGUGCGGCUGAGGAUGGGCCCGCGGCCUAUCAGCUUGUUGGUGGGGUGANGGCCUACCAAGGCGACGACGGGUAGCCGGCCUGAGAGGGCGACCGGCCACACUGGGACUGAGACACGGCCCAGACUCCUACGGGAGGCAGCAGUGGGGAAUCUUGCGCAAGUGGGACGAAAGCCUGACGCAGCGACGCCGCGUGAGGGA